UUAGUUGCGGAUUGCGGAGCGUCUGCGUCAUUCGACUCCCACAGCUGGAAGCGCGAGGAUUAUCGUAUUGUCUGCCAGUUUCUAGCUUAGAGCAUCCGCGUGGCGCGCUUCGCCCGCCCGUCUUCGAUCCACACACGACUUCGGUUGUUGAAUAACGGCGCGUAAUCGUUUGUUUUCCGUACGGUUAUUUCUGUUAUCACGUGACAAGUGAUUUCCGGAUGGUUGUACAGUGACGACUGGUUUGUAAACAAUAUUAUUGCUCUGCAGUCUGGAAUAUAACCGUCAGUAAUUGGAUUGCUGUGAACUGCAUUUGGUGUCUGAUUGUCUGCUAUUUAUUUAUAUUUUCAUUCUCACCACGACGAACUAAGAAAAGACAGAAUAAUGGAGACUUGUCAAGUUCACCAGAGGCUUACGGCGGUUAUGUCACAAAAAUCGGUGUGGUCUUCUCUUGUGAUCGUCCUAGCAGCG
Long non-coding RNA from Nilaparvata lugens (brown planthopper), 468 nucleotides. RefSeq lists it as uncharacterized. NCBI's taxonomy places the organism in Eukaryota, Metazoa, Arthropoda, Insecta, Hemiptera, Delphacidae. The transcript is spliced from 3 exons. The record is from RefSeq and is a predicted model, not a curated record.